AGAAGCUCAACAGGAGCGUCCUGAGAAUACAUGAGAUUCAAGAUUUUAUGUUGUAUUCAUGUGUUCUCAGGUCGCCCCUGCUGGACUUUC
RNAcentral lists this microRNA precursor (90 nucleotides) under Macleaya cordata. Its description in RNAcentral is "MIR398 microRNA precursor family". It matches the Rfam family "MIR398 microRNA precursor family". The record is from Rfam by way of RNAcentral. Lineage: Eukaryota; Viridiplantae; Streptophyta; Magnoliopsida; Ranunculales; Papaveraceae.